AACGAACGCUGGCGGCAUGCCUAACACAUGCAAGUCGAACGAGACCUUCGGGUCUAGUGGCGCACGGGUGCGUAACGCGUGGGAACCUGCCCUUAGGUUCGGAAUAACUCCCUGAAAGGGGUGCUAAUACCGGAUAAUGUCUCCGGACCAAAGAUUUAUCGACUUUGGAUGGGCCCGCGUUGGGUUAGCUAGUUGGUAGGGUAUAAGCCUACCAAGGCGACGAUCCAUAGCUGGUCUGAGAGGAUGAUCAGCCACACUGGGACUGAGACACGGCCCAGACUCCUACGGGAGGCAGCAGUGGGGAAUAUUGGACAAUGGGCGAAAGCCUGAUCCAGCAAUGCCGCGUGAGUGAUGAAGGCCUUAGGGUUGUAAAGCUCUUUUACCCGGGAUGAUAAUGACAGUACCGGGAGAAUAAGCUCCGGCUAACUCCGUG
This 433-nucleotide ribosomal RNA is filed under the name uncultured bacterium. RNAcentral's name for it is "partial 16S ribosomal RNA". It matches the Rfam family "Bacterial small subunit ribosomal RNA", at positions 29 to 507 of the family's 1533-position model. The record is from RNAcentral.